AACAUCAUUUCUGCUCGGGUGCAGUGUGGCGUCGGUCAUACCAUAUCCUCGCGGUACCGUGACAAGAUGGUGGCGGCAAGGAGGUGCCGUGUGUGUCACAUCCGGUUGACCGGCGGCUAUCACUGGAACAUCGCACUGGAGAGGCUAACAGAGUCCAUCCGGGUGCCGUGCGCCAACACCGCCCACGGCUGCACUGCCACGCCGGCCUACUACGACCACCCCGACCACCUCAAGGCGUGCCCUCACGAUGCCAUGCUAUUGCCCGCAGGCAGACUGCGGUUUCGCUAGCUCCACGGCGGCACUCCUGGACCACUUUGCCCACACGCAUGGGUGGCCGUGCAUGAACGAGCUUGGGCCUGGGCGUGCGUCGAGGUCCAGCUCUGUGACGGCUUCAACGCCUUCUCAGCCCGUGCCCAAUGCCGGCAGUACCUGUUCCUGCUGAACGUGGCGUUGAACCCGUUUGGCCGAGCGGUCUCCGUGCUCUCCCUGCAUCCUCGGGCGUUGUCGGCGGCGCCAUGUUCUUUGGAGUUCGAGAACUCAGAUUUAUGACAAGGACACAAGCAAAUUUAUAGCAUCCGUUGUGAUGAUACAAGGGAAGUAAGCAUAGAUGCGCUCAACGUGAUGAUAGAUGGGAGAGCUCGGCCUAUGCUGCCAACUGAUCUGCAGUGGUGCAGAAGGAGAUUUCAAAAGCAGGGCAAGCGAGAGCGACUGUUCUAUUGAUGGUCAAAGGGAGGGCUUGGCAAGAGAGAUUGAGGGAGCUCUACUACCUCGAUCUUGGCAUAGAACCUGAUGGCAUCAUGCCCAGGAAACUUCCUUCUUCAGUAUGUAUGGGGAUUUAUAUGACACCGAAAGAGAAGUCCGGCGUGUUUCUUGGUUCUAUGGAACCCCUCGACCGGAAGCAAAUAGAUCACAUCGCAAGUUGCUUUCCCAAUAUAAUCGUGCCGCAAGUUACCAACAUCGUGUGCUUAUACACCAUCGACUUUGCUGGAAAUCUAUCUGUCCGUGCUCCACCGUCUGUCGGAACUUCUUCUGCCCAUGCUACACCUGAGGUACAUACUACAGUCUCAUCAAUUAAUAAUACCCAAUUGCUUGU
This is a non-coding RNA of Triticum urartu, 1093 nucleotides long. The record is from RefSeq and is a predicted model, not a curated record. Lineage: Eukaryota; Viridiplantae; Streptophyta; Magnoliopsida; Poales; Poaceae.